Molecule: non-coding RNA, 688 nt
Organism: Leptonychotes weddellii (Weddell seal)
Lineage: Eukaryota; Metazoa; Chordata; Mammalia; Carnivora; Phocidae
Source: RefSeq, a predicted model, not a curated record
UCAACUGCCCUAACAUUCUCCCAGCGCUCCGUUGCCUCCUCCAAGGCGCUGGGGAGCUGGCUGACUUGAAAGUGUGAAUCAAUUUCAGCUGCAAAGAACUUGAGCUCCUGGAUUUUAAACGUGAAUCCCUUGGUACAGCAAGAGCUCCAGGGACGGAUGCCCAGCUUUGUGUCCACGCGUCCUUGUUCACCAGCGAGCCGUCCGACGCCAGGAUUCGUCUGCCCAGAGAUCCCCUUCUGAGGAAGAAAUUGAGCAUCAGGGAGAGGAAGCGGCUUCUACGGUUGCUGCUUGGCCACGCCGGCAUCUAUGGACAGAGAAGCAAAGGAAGGAGACCCCGGAAGAGAGCUCUUACCCCACGUGUGGAUGGGGACACUGCUGCUGACAGCUUGCCAACGUGCUGAAGUCACUCUGUAGGAGGCAGAGUCAGAAUCUGAGCGUGGGACGUUGGAGGGCAGAGCUCUGGGCCCUCAACCACUGCUUUCCAGGAGAAAGUGAGGAACUGUCUGGGCGUGGGUGGUAAAGGGAGAGUGGGAGAGUACCCCCAGGCUCUCUGGGAACCCAGGGCCCCAGUGUCUAAGCUCUCCCACCCACUUUUCCCACUGUGGCCCAGCCCAGACCCCUGGCCCUCCUCCUGAACCCCAGGGACCACUGCUGUUGGGAGAACCCAGGCAGACAGUGGCCCCAUUUU